AAAUUGAAGAGUUUGAUCAUGGCUCAGAUUGAACGCUGGCGGCAGGCCUAACACAUGCAAGUCGAACGGUAACAGGAAGCAGCUUGCUGCUUCGCUGACGAGUGGCGGACGGGUGAGUAAUGUCUGGGAAACUGCCUGAUGGAGGGGGAUAACUACUGGAAACGGUGGCUAAUACCGCAUAACGUCGCAAGACCAAAGAGGGGGACCUUCGGGCCUCUUGCCAUCAGAUGUGCCCAGAUGGGAUUAGCUUGUUGGUGAGGUAACGGCUCACCAAGGCGACGAUCCCUAGCUGGUCUGAGAGGAUGACCAGCCACACUGGAACUGAGACACGGUCCAGACUCCUACGGGAGGCAGCAGUGGGGAAUAUUGCACAAUGGGCGCAAGCCUGAUGCAGCCAUGCCGCGUGUAUGAAGAAGGCCUUCGGGUUGUAAAGUACUUUCAG
RNAcentral lists this ribosomal RNA (442 nucleotides) under Salmonella enterica subsp. enterica serovar Infantis. Its description in RNAcentral is "partial 16S ribosomal RNA". It matches the Rfam family "Bacterial small subunit ribosomal RNA", at positions 1 to 439 of the family's 1533-position model. The record is from RNAcentral. Lineage: Bacteria; Pseudomonadati; Pseudomonadota; Gammaproteobacteria; Enterobacterales; Enterobacteriaceae. RNAcentral also lists the same sequence under 1 other name.